UGUGGAUUUCGUUGCUUUUUCUUCCAGAGAUUUUAAAGACUAAUUUACCUUAACACAUAAAUCAGUUUCAUCAACAUUCCUUCUGAUUUCUAGCACGUCUCCACCUUCUAAUGCAUUUAUCUUCAAUGACAAGGGCUCACCAUCCACCGCAUCAUCUCCAAGAACAGCAGUCUGAUCUGUCUUCAGCAAGAAAACUGGCACACACCUGUUCCCAGCAACAGGGAGGAGAGAAAGGUUUACUCCGAAUGCACCCACGACAAAACUCCCCUGCUGCCAAGCUCUCCGUGGCUUCCUGGAGACCAACACACACAGGAACAGAAGCCCGGCAACCCCCAGGGGAAGAUGCCUCCUCCGGGUUUAAAAACGGAGCUACCCUUUUGCCCGGGGAUCAUGAGCGUUGCCUUGUGACUUAGUGC
Molecule: long non-coding RNA, 416 nt
Organism: Macaca nemestrina (pig-tailed macaque)
Lineage: Eukaryota; Metazoa; Chordata; Mammalia; Primates; Cercopithecidae
Source: Ensembl